CCCGGGGUGGAUCAGGGGCGGCGGCCCCCGCCUGAUGGGCGGGGUGGCGGAGGCGCCGGCUCCGCCGGUUCCGGCCAGGGGCCGGGUCC
This 89-nucleotide transfer RNA is filed under the name Streptomyces lavendulae subsp. lavendulae. RNAcentral describes it as "tRNA-Ile". The record is from RNAcentral. Lineage: Bacteria; Bacillati; Actinomycetota; Actinomycetes; Kitasatosporales; Streptomycetaceae.